UUUAAAAAUUUUUGUUCGUCUUUCCGUCUCACGUCGCCGCUACGAGAGGAGCCACCGCCAUGUCUCCGCAUCUGCAAUGGAAGGUCGUGCGGAACUGUUUCAGUUUCCUCAUCAAGAGGAACAAGCCAACCUACAGCGCAGAGCCCGAUAACUUGAAGGCCCGCAACUACUUCCGCUACAGCAGGCUGAUUCACCACAAGAUUGUGGGCGUGGAGUCGGCAGCAGACGGCAAAGGUGUCGUGGUGGUCAUGAAGCGGACAUCCGGCCAGUCACCUCCUAUUUCCGUACCAACAACAACAACAAGAAUGUUCACGCCACGCUCAGCGGCACCAGACACAUGAUCCGCAAGAACAAGUACCGCCCCGACCUGCGCAUGGCAGCCAUCCGCAGGGCCAGCGCCAUCCUGUGCAGCCAGAAGCCUGUGAUGGUGAAGAGGAAGCAGACCCGCCCCACCAAGAGUUCCUAAGCCCCCUGCUCCCAGAGCAAUAAAGCGUCAGCUGGCUUUCU
Saimiri boliviensis boliviensis (Bolivian squirrel monkey) is the source of this 507-nucleotide non-coding RNA. Lineage: Eukaryota; Metazoa; Chordata; Mammalia; Primates; Cebidae. The record is from RefSeq and is a predicted model, not a curated record.